GACGAACGCUGGCGGCGUGCCUAAUACAUGCAAGUAGGACGCAGUUGCGAACGGUUGAGUAACGCGUAGGGACCUACCUAUUAGAGGGGGAUAACUAUUGGAAACGAUAGCUAAUACCGCGUACUAGUAGAUGGACCUUCGUUGUAUUAGCUAGUAGGUAGGGUAAUGGCCUACAUAGGCAACGAUACAUAGCCGACCUGAGAGGGUGAUCAGUCACACUGGAACUGAGACACGGUCCAGACUCCUACGGGAGGCAGCAGUGGGGAAUAUUGGACAAUGGGCGAAAGCCUGAUCCAGCCAUGCCGCGUGUGUGAAGAAGGUCUUCGGAUUGUAAAGCACUUUAAGUUGGGAGGCGUUACCAACAGAAUAAGCACCGGCUAACUUCGUGCCAGCAGCCGCGGUAAUAC
This 407-nucleotide ribosomal RNA is filed under the name uncultured bacterium. Its description in RNAcentral is "partial 16S ribosomal RNA". It matches the Rfam family "Bacterial small subunit ribosomal RNA", at positions 28 to 526 of the family's 1533-position model. The record is from RNAcentral.